This 525-nucleotide ribosomal RNA is filed under the name Metabacillus indicus. Its description in RNAcentral is "bacterial SSU rRNA". It matches the Rfam family "Bacterial small subunit ribosomal RNA", at positions 63 to 583 of the family's 1533-position model. The record is from RNAcentral. Lineage: Bacteria; Bacillati; Bacillota; Bacilli; Caryophanales; Bacillaceae.
CGAGCGGACCUCUUCGGAGGUCAGCGGCGGACGGGUGAGUAACACGUGGGCAACCUGCCUGUAAGACUGGGAUAACUCCGGGAAACCGGAGCUAAUACCGGAUACUAUGUCAAACCGCAUGGUUUGACAUUCAAAGACGGUUUCGGCUGUCACUUACAGAUGGGCCCGCGGCGCAUUAGCUAGUUGGUGAGGUAAUGGCUCACCAAGGCGACGAUGCGUAGCCGACCUGAGAGGGUGAUCGGCCACACUGGGACUGAGACACGGCCCAGACUCCUACGGGAGGCAGCAGUAGGGAAUCUUCCGCAAUGGACGAAAGUCUGACGGAGCAACGCCGCGUGAGUGAUGAAGGUUUUCGGAUCGUAAAACUCUGUUGUCAGGGAAGAACAAGUGCCGGAGUAACUGCCGGCGCCUUGACGGUACCUGACCAGAAAGCCACGGCUAACUACGUGCCAGCAGCCGCGGUAAUACGUAGGUGGCAAGCGUUGUCCGGAAUUAUUGGGCGUAAAGCGCGCGCAGGCGGGAGGG